RNAcentral lists this unclassified non-coding RNA (240 nucleotides) under soil metagenome. RNAcentral describes it as "partial contains 5.8S ribosomal RNA, internal transcribed spacer 2, and large subunit ribosomal RNA". The record is from RNAcentral.
AACCAUAGAAACCUGCGGAGUACCUGCGGAGGGAUCAUUAUAGUAUAUGGAAUCUCCAUUCUAUAAACCCACUCUGCGUAUCUUGUAACUGUUGCUUCCAUGGGACUUGGUUCCGCCACACCGGCUUCACGGCUGGUGAGCGCCCAUGGAAGGAGGAACAAAACUCUUCUUUGAAAUGUAGUCAGUCUGAACAAGUUUUUAUAAACGUUAAAACUUUCAGCAAUGGAUCUCAGAUCGGAA